This 492-nucleotide ribosomal RNA is filed under the name uncultured bacterium. Its description in RNAcentral is "partial 16S ribosomal RNA". It matches the Rfam family "Bacterial small subunit ribosomal RNA", at positions 29 to 507 of the family's 1533-position model. The record is from RNAcentral.
AGUGAACGCUGGCGGUAGGCCUAACACAUGCAAGUCGAACGGCAGCACAGUAAGAGCUUGCUCUUACGGGUGGCGAGUGGCGGACGGGUGAGGAAUACAUCGGAAUCUACUUUUUCGUGGGGGGUAACGUAGGGAAACUUACGCUAAUACCGCAUACGACCUACGGGUGAAAGCAGGGGAUCUUCGGACCUUGCGCGAUUGAAUGAGCCGAUGUCGGAUUAGCUAGUUGGCGGGGUAAAGGCCCACCAAGGCGACGAUCCGUAGCUGGUCUGAGAGGAUGAUCAGCCACACUGGAACUGAGACACGGUCCAGACUCCUACGGGAGGCAGCAGUGGGGAAUAUUGGACAAUGGGCGCAGGCCUGAUCCAGCCAUACCGCGUGGGUGAAGAAGGCCUUCGGGUUGUAAAGCCCUUUUGUUGGGAAAGAAAAGCAGCAGGUUAAUACCCCGCUGUUCUGACGGUACCCAAAGAAUAAGCACCGGCUAACUUCGUG